Molecule: ribosomal RNA, 301 nt
Filed under: uncultured bacterium
Lineage: Bacteria
Description: partial 16S ribosomal RNA
Rfam family: Bacterial small subunit ribosomal RNA
Source: RNAcentral
CAGUAGCCACGGGAAUACAGAGGGUGCGAGCGUUAAUCGGAUUUACUGGGCGUAAAGCGUGCGUAGGCGGCUUUUUAAGUCGGAUGUGAAAUCCCUGAGCUUAACUUAGGAAUUGCAUUCGAUACUGGGAAGCUAGAGUAUGGGAGAGGAUGGUAGAAUUCCAGGUGUAGCGGUGAAAUGCGUAGAGAUCUGGAGGAAUACCGAUGGCGAAGGCAGCCAUCUGGCCUAAUACUGACGCUGAGGUACGAAAGCAUGGGGAGCAAACAGGAUUAGAUACCGCGUAGUCCCUGUCUCUUAUACA